This 294-nucleotide ribosomal RNA is filed under the name uncultured bacterium. Its description in RNAcentral is "partial 16S ribosomal RNA". It matches the Rfam family "Bacterial small subunit ribosomal RNA", at positions 775 to 1067 of the family's 1533-position model. The record is from RNAcentral.
GGAUUAGAUACCCUGGUAGUCCAUGCCGUAAACGAUGAAUACUAGAUGUUUGGGGAAUCGACCCCCCAAGUGUCGCAGCUAACGCGUUAAGUAUUCCGCCUGGGGAGUACGGUCGCAAGACUAAAACUCAAAGGAAUUGACGGGGGCCCGCACAAGCGGUGGAGCAUGUGGUUUAAUUCGAUGCAACGCGAAGAACCUUACCUGGGUUUGACAUCCUUUGACAACUCUAGAGAUAGAGCCUUCUCCUCGGAGACAAAGUGACAGGUGCUGCAUGGCUGUCGUCAGCUCGUGCCG